ACAUGAUGAUUAAAAUUAAUACUGAGUGACAAUCUUGUUGCAUUUGUAAAAUGGAUUGGAAACCUUGGUGGUAUAUUGAUAAUUACGCCUAUUUUUUUUAUAGGAGAAUGGGGUUCGAUUCCCUGCUAGGGUCAAUCCAUUUUAUCAUAAAUAUGAAACAAUUUUGUCAUUUCAGUACAACAGUUAUAAUUAACCUAUACUUUAUUUUAUAUUUUAUCAUCAGAUCAUAUGUUUCAUUGAAAUUAUUUUUAUACAUGCCUUUUAA
RNAcentral lists this long non-coding RNA (265 nucleotides) under Mytilus galloprovincialis (Mediterranean mussel). Lineage: Eukaryota; Metazoa; Mollusca; Bivalvia; Mytilida; Mytilidae. The record is from RNAcentral.